UACGUCUUUUUCUCUCUUUAAUCGGAAUUACUGGGCGUAAAGCGUGCGCAGGCGGUCUUGUAAGACAGAGGUGAAAUCCCCGGGCUCAACCUGGGAACGGCCUUUGUGACUGCAAGACUAGAGUACGGCAGAGGGGGAUGGAAUUCCGCGUGUAGCAGUGAAAUGCGUAGAUAUGCGGAGGAACACCAGUGGCGAAGGCGAUCCCCUGGGCCUGUACUGACGCUCAUGCACGAAAGCGUGGGGAGCAAACAGG
RNAcentral lists this ribosomal RNA (253 nucleotides) under uncultured bacterium. RNAcentral's name for it is "partial 16S ribosomal RNA". It matches the Rfam family "Bacterial small subunit ribosomal RNA", at positions 524 to 776 of the family's 1533-position model. The record is from RNAcentral.